GGGGAACCAGGACUUUUACUGUGAAAAAAUUAGAGUGUUCAAAGCAGGCCUUUGCUCGGAUACAUUAGCAUGGAAUAAUAGAAUAGGACGUGCGGUUCUAUUUUGUUGGUUUCUAGGACCGCCGUAAUGAUUAAUAGGGAUAGUCGGGGGCGUCAGUAUUCAGCUGUCAGAGGUGAAAUUCUUGGAUUUGCUGAAGACUAACUACUGCGAAAGCAUUCGCCAAGGAUGUUUUCAUUGAUCAGGGAACGAAAGUUAGGGGAUCGAAGACGAUCAGAUACCGUCGUAGUCUUAACCAUAAACUAUGCCGACUAGGGAUCGGGCGGGGUUCUAUGAUGACCCGCUCGGCACCUUACGAGAAAUCAAAGUUUUUGGGUUCUGGGGGGAGUAUGGUCGCAAGGCUGAAACUUAAAGAAAUUGACGGAAGGGCACCACAAGGCGUGGAGCCUGCGGCUUAAUUUGACCCAACACGGGGAAACUCACCAGGUCCAGACAAAAUAAGGAUUGACAGAUUGAGAGCUCUUUCUUGAUCUUUUGGAUGGUGGUGCAUGGCCGUUCUUAGUUGGUGGAGUGAUUUGUCUGCUUAAUUGCGAUAACGAACGAGACCU
RNAcentral lists this ribosomal RNA (605 nucleotides) under uncultured Trichocomaceae. RNAcentral's name for it is "SSU rRNA". It matches the Rfam family "Eukaryotic small subunit ribosomal RNA", at positions 737 to 1343 of the family's 1831-position model. Lineage: Eukaryota; Fungi; Ascomycota; Eurotiomycetes; Eurotiales; Trichocomaceae. The record is from RNAcentral.